Molecule: unclassified non-coding RNA, 605 nt
Filed under: Hevea brasiliensis (rubber tree)
Lineage: Eukaryota; Viridiplantae; Streptophyta; Magnoliopsida; Malpighiales; Euphorbiaceae
Source: RNAcentral
AUCUAAUCACAAAACAUUCAAGUCAUUUUUUGAAAUGUUAUAUAACGAUGUAGAAACAAUAUUUGUUUGGUCAGUCAAUAUUUUGUACUUAUUGCUUUCUCCAUAAACAUUUCUGUAGGUUCAAGGCAUCCCCUUACUGCAUCAUGUCCAAGUUGGGCUCUUUCGUUGUCUCCAAAUCCAAAGACUCGUCCACAAUUUGUAACAACUACUGUGUGGUAUAAGCCAGUGCUGAUUUGAGAUAUGUGAUGGGAUCUCAAGCUCUCCAGGAUACGAGGCUUCAAAACUUUAUCUGAUGCUCCUCUGUCAAGGAAUCCGAGGCUACCAAAACCCAUCCAGCCAAAGCCAUAAACAGAACCAUCGUCCACAAGGACAAACGUUUUCCUCUUGCUUGCACAAACCUGAACUGCUAGAUGGCUCUUAAGGCUGGUCAAGUGUGACGGAGUAGUCUUAUCAGUCUCAUCACCAUGCCCCAAUGCACCGCAAUAACCUUUCCCCCAAGUAUAUACAUAUCCAGUGGAAUCCAGUGCCACAACAUGCUCAUCUCCAGCAGAAACACGAGCCACAUUAAUGCCCUUCCUCUUAAACGACUGGAUUGCACGUGGCUG